Non-coding RNA from Osmia lignaria (orchard mason bee), 6921 nucleotides. The record is from RefSeq and is a predicted model, not a curated record. NCBI's taxonomy places the organism in Eukaryota, Metazoa, Arthropoda, Insecta, Hymenoptera, Megachilidae.
CAUAUCCCUACCUUUCCUCUACCUUUUUCCUGCUACCUACCGAUUUCUAUUUCUAUCGAUCGAAUUUUUCCUGGAUAAACAUCUUCCAUCGGGAUGGAAAUUAUAGCCAACCGUAUUCUCAUCAAUUUCUCGGAUAUAUAAAUCUUUUGAAUCGAGGACGAACAUGUAGAUGUGUCAUUUUUUGUUUGCACACGAUUUUUAUUACAUUGAAAACGGUGUCAUCUACCGAGACAUGGGUGUUGACACGUUACACACCGCAUUCUUCUACUCGUCCAAUUUUAGCUCGUUCUCGAUUUCGUACAUAGUUGCAUCAGCUACCAAAGAAGUUGCAAACCACCCUAUAAUUUCAUCGAAACGACUCAUUUCCAACCACGAAACAUCUAUCCUGGAAUUAUUACUAUCCAAAUCCCUGUCAUCGGAGCAAAUCCCUAUUUCAAAGAUAGUGCGCUCACGCUGCGAAUCGGCUGCACACGUGUCAGCGUUCUCCAUGCAGCCAACUGUGCUUACAGGAUGCGCGUUAAACACACGUCGGCCUUGAUGGAGCGUAGCGAUUGAUAAGAUUACGUAAAACGCGAGUUUUGCUGGCCAAACCUACGCGAAUGGUCAUAGGAAGAAAUACAUACAGAGAUGUAGAGAGGAAAAGAAGAUAGGCGGUAGCGGAGGUGCGCAAAGCUGAGGUAGACGGUGCCACGAGUGCAAGGAAAAGGGAAAGAGAGGCGUGGUACAACGAAGCGGAGAAGCGUGCAAGAGGAAAGAAGGAAGCGAGUGGGAUUCGUAUGACUGCUGGCACCAAGCAGUCUGCUCCGCUCACCUCGCUAUUCCCGCGAGCAAUGCCAGCCCGAGAUUGCUGCUCGGUACUUGACUCGUGUUCACGAACGUUCACGAACACGUACGAAGCUGUGCAUCGACGUGUACCCGAUGUGGAGUAGCGCCCUGGACAGAGCCAGCCACUCUCAGUCCGUCCACUAGCCAACAGAGACCAAGACAAAUAUUCCACUUUUCUUCGUGGAACAUGUGUUCCAGACCACUUGCUCGUUUCGUGCCAGUACAGAUGUACCCCCUUGAAGAAACUAAUGGGACAGAAUGGAAAGUCUUGCUUCCAUCGCGAUAAAAGACAGCAAGAAUUUCAAAUAAACGAAUCGAACAAAAUACUUUUAUCUUUUAUUUGAAAGGAUAUUAAGGGCAGUCUGUAAAUAAAAUAAUUGGCAAAGUGCCUUAUCACUUUUCUUCCUGUUAUCAAACAAAUAUGAUUAUCAAAAUAAGCUUUGUUUAUCUCUCUGUUAGCUGACUAGAGCUGAUACAAAAAAUAUAUCAACACUGGAUCAAAAUUAACCCCUUCUACGUCAACAGAGAACUAUUAAUGGCAAAAAUUUCGCGUUUAUAACUACCAAUCGGACGGUGAAUUAGCAUGAAGCUAAAAUAGAAUGUUUAUCGUGUUCCGUCGAGCGAUUUGCGUCAGACAACAGAUGCCUUAGCGAAAACUUUAAUUCGAUCAAUAAACGCAUCAAUAGAGAAAAUAGAGCAGGGUUUUUCCCUCGGAAAAUUCACGGAUCAGAUCUAAAUAAAUCGAUGAUCGGAAGGAGGAAAAGCGGAAAAUGAAAAAAGCCGAAAGAGAAAGAGGGAUUGCAAAGGUCGGACGAUACAGCUCGAUUCUAAAUUUGAACGGAUCACGAAGUAGUCACGGCUCGGAAAGAGCGCUACCAGCAAAAAAGAAAAGGAGAAGAAACAAAUGCAGUGGGAUUUAAGGUGGUACUCGAACAGACUGUUCGUUGUUUGUAAUGAACCGCCUGUAUGUACGUUUCGUUCUAAUUUUCUUCCUGUUUACGUUCCUUCCCUAAAGACCACACCGAUAUAGGCCCACCACUUCUGUUCUCUGACUAAACAUAUUUUCAACAAUGUCUGCUAGUCGAUGUCCAGGAAUGGAAACUCUGGAAAAAUAUGAUUCUCAAAAUAAACCACCCUUCGCUGGUGGAAUUUUCCUAUUUGAAUCUUCCAAUUUAACCGAGACAUCCAUCUUUCGAAAGCUGACAGAGUAUCACUUUCUGUUCGCUCUGAUCCUAAUUUCGGGAAUGUUAAUUCGAGCCGGAUUGAAGGUUAGAGGGAUAAACGUCAUGCAAACUUUCCACACACAGAUUUCCAGGCCUAUCGUGACUCACGUAUUCGAGAGAUAACUGACGUUGCGAUAAAAUUGCAAGGUCCCGAUAUACAUUCGUAACGAUGCCGCUCUGUUAUGUUCGGAGAAGGGAAAUUCCUUUUUUUUUCAUUUGUGAUAUCACAGGAAAACCACGAGAAUCAUUUCGUUCGUAACAAAUGUUAUUGUACAUAAGGUGUUAAAUAAGGCGGAACGAAAGAUUAGAAAGAAGAAAAUCGUGAUCCGUGUCGGUGUUAAAAGACGGUACAAACUGUCGAGGAUUUACGAGGAACCUCGGAUCGCCACGGCUCAUAACUUCGUGGCCGAGGAGCGCAGGUGUCGCCGGAAGUCGUUUUACGAGCGAGCGGAAACGUAAAUCGGAGCACGGUCUUCGUCACGGAAAAGGGAACCGAAUUCUACACAACAGGCUCUCGGUCGAACGAACGGUACUUACACGACUCGAUAAACUUUCAGUUUGCUCGAAAACAGGAACACCGUUCAAAGCGAUCCUGUAAUCUGAUCAUUCUUUUCAUAGAGUUUCAUAACUUUUUUCCUUUUAAAGAGUCUGAAUUUUAAUAUUAUCACAGAAUUUUACCAUUUUUAGAACACUAAUUUGAUACUCAUUUUCUGAAAUUAUAAAAAAUCCCUAAAAUAAUAAUAAUUCGCGAAAAAUUCACGUUCAAAUUUUUUCUUAAACGAAAUAUUAAUUAAAUUUUUCGAAUGAUUGAAUCGUCUACUGCCUCGACGUGGAACUUAACAAGGACUCGCGAGAUCAACGGAGACCUCGAAACACCGAAUGGUUCCUUCUCUUUAAUCAGCUGUGAUUAAAAAGUCAGAGAACGAAGAUCGUUUGAAAUUUUGAUCGUGUUCGCGAUUACGUCAGGUACCUACUCGAAUGCUAUAUCUAUGCAACGAACACGGUGUAAACCGGGCUUUAAAGGAUCGAGACGAGCGUGCUGCAAGCUCUCUUGAAUAGAUUCAAUCACCGGGAGUGUCUUCUCGGAAGCGCUCGGAUGCAUUUAAAUGCCCCCGGUCAAAUAAACAGGCCGUCGGUUGCAUAUCGAUUACCAGCUGAUAUGAUUUUUGCAUUCAAAUUACGUUUUUCGAUGUUUUAUUCUCUACUGGGAUACGUUCAGCUGAUCGACAGCAUGGCCAAGAAUUGAUCAAAAGAUUCGUACACGUGAAUGUUAAGAAUAUUGGAACAUUUACUCCAAGACUAAAACCGUUCCUUCGAAGUCCAUUUCUUUGAGAGGUUAAAAUGGUUACCUAUUUCUCGGAAUCGAUUUACACUUGGAAACAUUUCGUUUCAUUCAAUCACACUAUUCAUGUUGAGCUAUACAGUGGGUGAUCAAAUUAUUAGAGCCACUCGCAUAAAUUGACGAUUUUAUAUAAAAAUAAUUAAUUCUUAAAUGAAAACCUAGUUAAACGGAGUUUUUGUUAUUUUUUUAUGAAGUAUCGAUGCUUGUAAAAUUAUGAUACACAGUUGAAAAAAGUGAAAGUUCUUGACUGGCCUGGAAAUUCUUUGGUCCUCAACCCCAUCGAAAAUAUGUGGAAAUAUUUAUUAUUAGUAAUAAAUGUCAAUUGAUUGAACGUUUGAUAUUAGUAUGGGCUAAAAAUAAAGCAAUCAAAAUGAAUUGCCGAAAAGAAUUGAGGCAGUAAUUGCAGCUAAAGGCGGCAUUACGAAAUACUAACAUACAUACGUAAAUAUAAUCUUUUAAAUGUACUUGUUUAUUUUUAUAAGUAUUAUUGAUUAAAAGUUACACAAUGUAAAAACCUUAAAAUUGCGGCUUUAUUUCUACACAAACACGAAAAACCUACUUUUCAUACCAUAGCUCUAAUAAUUUGAUCACCCACUGUACCAUAUAUUGCAUCGUGAGUGUACAGUGCGUUUAAAAUAAAACGAUCAAUCGUGCAAAAGUUAAAUAAAAAUUUGAUUCUCAAAAGAAAAUGUUAAAUAUACUAAAAAUAACGUAUUAGAAUUUCUAACAAUUUUUGCAUAGUACUCGCAAUGUUAAUUUAAUUUUUGUAUCUUGUACAAAGUUCCAUGUAGUUCUUACACCGAUCGCUUAAUUUGCAUAAAAUGUUGAUCAUAAAACAAGAAUGAAGAAAGAAGGAAAAAAAGAAAAGUAAUACGCCUUUACCUUGGUCGCUGCAAUAAAACCAUAGAUAAUGAUACAAAGUAGCGUCACGAUUCGCGACAAAAAACGCGAAUACAUAGUUGCAUCGCGAGAGUCGGCGGAGGAGGUACUGUUGAAAACCGGAAAAAAAGCGAGUCCGUCACGUUGUUUCGAUCGCGAGAGGAAUGAAUAAGUAGCUGGUAGGUGACUAAUCAAUAAUCUUGUCAGCCAACGAGCGGGGACAAUAAUGACAGGUAGGGAGAUGUCGGCUCUGAUUGAUCGCGAUCCUACACUUUCAAGGAUAAUGUCCUCAGGCGUUUCGCGGGUCUUUGCCAAGGACAAGAUAGGAAUGUCAUCACAUAAUUACUGCACCUGUGAUGUUCCUUCUUCGUCAGAAUUUCUACGAAACGUUUGCAAGAAACAGGGGAAAAUCUACGGAAAUCAGAAUCUUUCCUUAACGGCUAAGACACCAAUUAUUACACCAAUUAGCGUUCGUUUCUUUUCAUCGUGAACGUGACAGCUGGGACGUUUUAUCGAAUACUGAAAAAAAGAGGAAAGGAAAGGAAAGGGAAGAGGAUAAGCGUUCCAGGAGACGAUUUCUGUUCCUAGGAAUCAAAAUGAUCGAAAGUGUGUACAAUAGUUAACGAGAUAUGCUCGGGUAAAAUGAAAAACAAACUGGCCUAGUUUAAUUAAACGCCACGUGGUGCCACGUGGUGGUGCGAGAAGGUUUGUGUUCGAAAGGAACGGGUUGACGGAAACGAAAUUUACGAGGGCCCAGGAAUCUGACUACCGACAUAUGUGUGUGUGUCGAGCUUUCUUUUAUGUGUAAGAAAAAAACAUGAUGUAUCGAGAAUGACACGAACAAGAUUGCAAAGACAAAAGAAACUAUAACAUCGUUAACACGUUUCGUAUUGAAAUUUCAAAUUAAUAUCAGCUGGUCGAAACCAGAUUCAAAAACUACCUUCUUUUUUUCUGUUUAAUAUAGAAGGUGUGAGAAACCGGAACGAGAAGGUUGAAUGAAGAAUGAUAUACAGGGUCGUUUGGGACCAGGCAUAAGGAUCUGAAUUGAAUUGUAAGAACAGUGGAACGUGACUAUGUUAUCUGAGACUUUGUUAUCGAGAAAAUUAAUUUAAAAAAUUUACCAAGUACCCGUGUAUUGUCUUGGGUCGUACUUUGAACAAAUACCGUGGGUCGUCGAUGACGUAUGCAACAUAUAAUUAAAAAAGAAACCUUGCAUUAUUCUUCUAAUUGUUUAUUCAUAGCUAUACCAUUUUAUUGUUUAUUUUAAUAAUCGUUUAAUUACAGUCAAUGUGACAAAAUGUCUUUUUUUAACGCACGGUCAUUUGGUAUUCACGAUUAUCCCAGCACAAAAAAAAAAUAUACACAAAAAUAAAAUAAAGAUAGAUUUUCGAGGAAAUUGAGAAGCGAAUAAAGCAUACCAAAUUAAAAGAAACGUUCUGUCUCGAAGCUUAUUUUAAUCGAUAAAAUGGUUUAAAAAUCGUCGAUUAAUUUGUCCAGACGAUAAGAUGGGGCUAAACUAGGAUAUCAAUGAAUACAAUCUUGUACGGCUCAUCAAGAUAUCGUUUAUCCGCAUAAACACACAGGGUAAUUAGGUAUAAACGAGGACACCCAGCGGCCAAUUUCAAUAAACAUUCUGAUGAAAUUUUUCGACAAUUUACGUGUACCCGGUGUAAUCAACUUUUUCCAUUAGAUAUCCGCCGCACUGAUUCUUGCACAAUUUCUCUUGUUUUCGACUCUUCGUUCAAUUUUAGAAAUAGAUAAGAACGACUCAUUGGACUGACAACGACAGGCAACAACAAUUUUUCGUCUGGUCGGUGUGUCCGAUGCACUAACGUAUAAAUUCUUUCGAACACACGCGCACACAUUGUUGUGCGACCCGAGUGUCUGGCAAGUUGAAAACUAAAAUAUAUGUUAUAUCCCGUGCGAGCCGUAUCGGGGUACCCGGCAAAGCGUAUAAAGCACACGUGUGCGUUUAUUUUACAUUUAUGCAGAUCGUAUUCACGCGUGCAACGGUUUACCACCGUGUGUGAAACGACCCUCGAGAAGAAAGCACUGUGAUUUCUCUCUUAUUCGAUUUAGAAAGUACCUGCCUAUUCUUUUAGAUAACCCCGGUCAAGCACACUGACAAAAAUCAUCGGGUACAAAUAAUAAUGCUAUUUUGGAGGGAAAAAAACAGAACGAAAACGCAAUGCGACUGAUAUUGUCUACGAUCGACAGAUAACAAAAUGAUGGACAAUUGAAUUAAAUUGCAAUGAAUGUUGCGUGAAUGUUGACUGUCAAUUAUUUGUUGCUAUAUUAACGAUAAACAUCGUAUGAGAAAAAUGGCUUUCACUUUCAAAAAGGAUUGUCCGAGUACUCGAUCAAACUGGUCGGUGUUUUUUGAACAAGCCAAAGGAUGGAAAGUCUCAGCGUUGGCUUACGGUGCCGCUGCGUUUAUCUGCAUAUGUUGGAUAACCGAUUGGCAAGCAGUAUGCAAAUAUAUUCCAUAUUACGGUAGCAAAUAUAAAAUUGGAAGUUCAAAAAAAUCCUCUGGCAUACUGGAAUGAUCGAUACUCAUCGGAUUAAAAACAUAGUAAAUAUUUACGAAUAAUUAAAUUAAAAUAUGUAUCAAUUAUUUGUAAAAAUGUAAUAAACAAUUGUGUUGCAUUAAAA